Lontra canadensis (Northern American river otter) is the source of this 5833-nucleotide RNA transcript. It is a transcript of the gene named von Willebrand factor D and EGF domain-containing protein-like, with no coding region annotated. Lineage: Eukaryota; Metazoa; Chordata; Mammalia; Carnivora; Mustelidae. The record is from RefSeq and is a predicted model, not a curated record. The transcript is spliced from 30 exons.
CUGGGAAGGACUGCUGCGUUCCAGAGCGAGAACACGCAGCGGCUCUGAAGAGUUAGCAAGAACCGGCCGAGAGAGUCCUGUGAUAGGUCUGAGGUGUCCCCAUCCUGCCUGCGCCCACGGCUCCGGGCUCUGCGACACUUUGGACCCCACGAGCGGCAGCAAGAUGCUCGGCCGACUCUGGGCACUGGCGCUGCUGCUCCUGGCCCCGGGGCAAGGUCGGCAAGCUCGGGAGUGCUCUCCUGGGGGACACCGGUUUCUUCAGAGUCCUUACAGAAGUGUGCAUUUUGACUCAAUGCACCUCCAGCAUUCUCCCUCUCAAGACCUGAUAUGUGACCAUUCUCUCUCUCCCGGAUGGUAUCGGUUUCUCAUCUUUGACAGACCUGCUGAGAUGCCAACCAAAUGUGUUGAGGUGAAUCACUGUGGAACACAGGCCCCCAUCUGGCUAUCUCUGAGAGAUUCAGAGACACUGCCUUCACCUGGAGAGAUCAAGCAACUGACAGCUUGUGCCACGUGGCAGUUUUCAUUUAGUGCUACAAAAGACUGCUGCCUUUUUCAAAUCCCAGUGUCUGUAAGAAACUGUGGAAACUUUUUUGUGUACUUACUACAGCCCACUCAGGGAUGUAUGGGAUAUUGUGCACAAGGUCAGCUGUCUGCCUCAUUGCCACCACCACCCCCAGAAAGGCCCAAAGUUGUGGUGGAGCUGAUUGGAUCCAGGCUUUUCUGUAGGUGUGCUUUUGAGGUUUCCUCUACAAACACCUCAGUGGGAUUUCUCAUAACUUGGUCUAGGCUUUCUUCUCAAGAAGUGAAAGAAGAGCUGAAGCAAGAGACCACAGUUCAGGCAUCCUCUCUUUUAGAACUGGAUGGCAUAAAUCUCAGGCUCGGAGAUAGGAUAUUCUGUAGUGCUUCCGUCUUUUUAUUGGAGAAACCACAUGUACAGAGUUUAGCCAUCGAAAGCCAAGAAUUUUUUGCAGGCAUUAAGUUACACCCAGAGUUAAGCAUUAUAUCAGAAGAUGGGAAAGAAUAUCAGUUGAAGAUAGCGAGCACAGUUCCUGUCAUUUGUUCUGAACCCAGUGAGCUUGGCCAGCAGUGCAAAAUCUCAUUAAAACUGAAAACUGUUGAUCAAGGUAAAGAACAGCGAGGUUUAAAUUUGGCGCUGUCUUCCUGUCACGUGGACCUUCACCGGACAUCGUCCUGUGCUAAUGGAUCAUGUAGCCAUGCUUUGGUUUACUACACUGCUGUGACAGAUUUUUCUCGAGAUGGAGACAGAGUGACAAACAUUGUAGUGGAACCUAUAGUACAUGAGGAUUUCCUGUGGAAUAGCUACAUUCCAGACAGCAUCCAGAUCAAAGUAAAGGAUGUCCCAACUGCUUACUGCUAUUCAUUUACUGACCCACAUAUAAUUACAUUUGAUGGCAGGGUAUAUGAUAAUUUCAAAACUGGAACAUUUGUGCUUUAUAAGAGUGUGUCACGUGACUUUGAAGUCCAUGUACGCCAGUGGGACUGUGGAAGCCUUCACUAUCCUGUGUCGUGUAACUGCGGGUUUGUUGCCAAAGAAGAAGGUGAUGUUGUUACUUUUGAUAUGUGCAGUGGUCAGCUACAUGAAUCACAGCCAUAUUUAUCUGUCAAGAGCCAAGAUGUAACCAGCAAUAUCAAGAUAAGUGAAUCCUACUUAGGAAGAAAAGUCACAGUCAGGUUUUCUUCUGGAGCAUUUAUCCGUGCUGAUCUUAGUGAAUGGGGCAUGAGUUUAACAAUCAGAGCCCCUAGCCUAGACUAUAGAAACACUUUGGGACUUUGUGGCACCUUUGAUGAAAACCCAGAAAAUGAUUUCCAUAAUAAAAAUGGGAUAAAAAUUGAUCUAACUUUUGAUAAUUGUGUUGCUUUUAUUAAUGAAUGGAGGAUUUUGCCAGGGAAAAGCAUGUUUGACACAAUGCCAGUUUCUCCGCCUUCACCUGGAAAAUUGUCCUAUUGUAGCUGCUCAUCAGACACUAAUUCUUUAUAUCCUUCCAAUCGUCUGGACAGUGCUUCUCAACAAGAGAUUGUUUCAGGUUGCAGAGAUCUCAAACAUGUCAGAUUCUCUUUCUUGAUACCAGAACUAGAUGUCACCUCUGAGUAUAUUAAUUCAGAAGCUCUUAUCAGAGGGAUAAAUGAGUAUACAUCUGGAGAAGAAAAUAAUUCGAACUUCCUUCCUCAAGAAAAAAAGCAUGUGAACCUAACCAAACUGGAAUUACAUUUACAAAAACAUCCUGGAAAUGAAAAACAAGAGGCACCAAAAACUCUGGACAAUGGGAAACAUACACGGGGCGAGGGUAGUCACAGCCAGGAAAUGAGGAGGGAUCCACAAAACAGAUGGAAACGGCAAAACUUUUAUGAGUUUAUUCCUAUGUUUGCUUUCCAAAGUCUUAGCCAAAGUGACCUAGAAGAACUUGCUUAUUUCUUCCCUGAGGACCAUAUUGAGGAUGUCCACCAGGAGUUUGUCCCUACAUGGCCCACACCCUCUGGUCUCACCGAACAUGGAACUUUGGCGCUCUGCCAGCAGACUCUUGCCAACUCUAGCAUAGGAAGAUACUGUCUCGCCUUUCUGGGCAAGAGCCUAGACACUGCUAUAGAUAUGUGUGUUAAAGAUGUUCUCCUAAAAGAUGAUCUUAGCUGGGCAGAAGCCGGCGUGGCUCUUUUAGAAAAUGAAUGUGAAAAGAGAAUUUUGGAAGAGGGGAAACACAGCACAGAAGAAUACAGCAAGUCAGUUGAAGACAUUCUCGAGGUCCUCAAAUGCCCCAGUUUAUGCAGUGGCAAUGGGGAGUGUGUGGAAUGGGGAUGCGCAUGCUCCGCAGGCUUUAGUUCCUAUGACUGCAGUGAUUCACACGACAAGGCUCCUGAAAUUAUAGAACUCGAGAAUGCUGGAUUCUGUAAUAUUCGAAAAUAUAAUUGUAUGACAGUGAGAGUGUUUGGUCAAGGCUUCAAAGAAUCACCUUCAAUUAAAUGUGAAAUUACUAAACUGCAGUAUAAUAACAGUAAAUGGGUCCUUGGAAAAGCUGUCUACACGAAUACUGUUUUUCAAAAUAGCAGAACCAUUGAUUGUCAGCUGCCCCCUGAUGUCCAACAGUCUGAUACUGUAAUUCUGAUGGGGGAGAAACCAAUUGCAAAGUGGCAAAUAAAGGUAUCUAAUGAUGGUUAUAAGUUCAGUAAUCCCAGAAUAAUGAUCAUAUAUGAUGGGGCUUGUCAAGUUUGUGGUCUCUAUGGGAAGGACUCAUGUACUGUAAAGGAAAAUGUUUGCAUUAUUGAUGGGCUCUGCUACGUUGAAGGAGAUGAAAAUCCUACCAGCCCUUGUUUGAUUUGUAGACCAAAAAUUUCAAAAUUUACUUGGUCAUUUUUAGAAAACAACCAACCCCCAGUGAUUCAAAUACCGCAAGACAAAUUGCAGACAUUUUUGGGGGAGAACUUUGCGUACCAGUUCACGGCCUUGGAUCCUGAAGGUUCUGACAUCCAUUUUACCUUGGACUCAGGUCCUGAGGGAGCAGAUGUUUCCUCUACAGGACUUCUCACAUGGAAAACAGAGUCCCAGACUCCACAGCAAUUCACUUUACUCUUUAACGACGACUGCAAUGCUGAAACGAGAGUCACGAUUAUGGUGACUGUGAAGUCUUGUGAUUGCUUGAAUGGUGGAUCAUGUGUGUCAGAUAGGAAGUUUCCUCCAGGAAGUGGAAUGUACCUGUGCAUCUGCUUGCCUGGCUUUGAGGGGGUUCUCUGUGAAGUGAACGUCACUGAGUGUCAAUCGAACCCCUGUGGCCUUGGCAGGUGUAUUAGUGGGUUUCCCAGUUAUUCUUGUGUAUGUCCACCUGAACUCAAAGGCAAAAAUUGCCAGGAAGAUGUUGAUGAGUGUGAAUCCAGGCCUUGCUUUCCAGGAGCAGAGUGUCUCAAUACCUUUGGCUCCUAUCAUUGUGGUGCAUGUCCAAAAGGAUUUUAUGGUGAUGGGAAAAUAUGUCAUGAUAUAAAAUUUCAGUCACCAUCAACAGAUCAUUCAUCAUCCGGUGCAAGCUUUACCCACAGGCCUGCCUCUAUCAAAAAGUUCUUGAACACAACCAGUGACAUCUCACACUUCUCAUUAAAAUCAGUUACAACUCAAAUGAAUAAUUCAAAAAACAUUAUUUCCCGUCAGAUACCAGGGUUUGAACAGGCAGAUCAUACUAUCACUACAAAUCUCAGUCUGGAGGAAUUGGGAGUGUCGACGAAAAACCAUAUUUCUUUAAGCAUCAACCCAAAUGGUUCCCCUGGUGAAGUAAAGGAUGUUAAACAGAGCACUAUCCAGACAGAGGCUGGAGGGAAUAAUUCUCAAAUUAACAGGCCUGCCAAAGGUUACACACAGGAUAAGGAUGGGUUUGCCUCAUCGGUUACUAGAGCCAUCACUAUUUUGCCAGAAAAGCCUGGAUGGACCAGAAUAUCAACUUGUGCUGAUUCACCUUGUUUUCUUGGUGUUUCUUGUGUGCCAACCACAGAUGGUCACUUCCAGUGUGGACGCUGCCCCCUUGGAUAUUAUGGAGAUGGUAUCAAUUGCAGAGCCAUUUGUAGACACCCAUGUGGAAAAAGCAGGGUGUGUGUUGCCCCAAACAUAUGCAGGUGUAAACCUGGCUACACUGGUUCUAACUGCCAAACUGCUAUAUGUCAUCCUGAUUGCAGAAACCAUGGAAAAUGUAUUAAGCCUAACGUUUGUGAAUGUCCCCCAGGGCAUGGUGGAGCAACAUGUGAUGAAGAACACUGUAGUCCACCUUGUCAACAUGGCGGCACCUGCUUGGCUGGAAAUCUCUGCACUUGUCCUUAUGGUUUUAUAGGACCAAGGUGUGAAACAAUGGUUUGUAACAGGCACUGUGAAAAUGGAGGUGAAUGUCUUACACCAGAUACCUGCCAGUGCAAGCCUGGCUGGUAUGGACCUACUUGUGGUACAGCUUUGUGUGACCCCGUUUGCCUCAAUGGUGGUUCCUGUAAUAAGCCAAACACUUGCCUUUGUCCAAAUGGAUUCUUUGGUGCACAGUGUCAGAAUGCUCUCUGUCACCCUCCCUGUAAGAAUGGCGGACGCUGCAUGAGAAAUAACGUGUGUGCCUGUCGUGAGGGAUACACUGGUAGGAGAUGCCAAAAAAGUAUCUGUGAUCCAAUGUGCAUGAAUGGAGGAAAAUGCAUGGGACCAAAUAUUUGCUCUUGUCCUUCUGGUUGGAGAGGGAAACAAUGCAACAUAGCUAUCUGCUUUCAGAAAUGUAAAAAUGGUGGUGAGUGUAUUGCUCCCAGUAUAUGCCAUUGUCCUACCACAUGGGAAGGAGUGCAGUGUCAAAUACCAAUUUGCAAUCAAAAGUGUCUUCAUGGAGGCAGAUGUGUAUUUCCCAAUGUGUGCUCUUGUCGUGAUGGAUAUUCUGGAGUCAAAUGUGAAAAGAAAGUACAGGAAACAAACAAACAAACAAGUACCAUUUAUGAGCAUUCACAGAACCUUCCCUGACUCCUACCUACUCCUUUCCUGCUUCUUGGCCCUUCUUCCAGCAUCCUGAGACAAAACGCCAUUAAUAUCAAGUAUGUGAAUCACAAGCCUGUCAUAAGAAUGAAAUUUUUAUUCAGAAAAAGCUGAAGAUAAUUAUUUGAAGUUUAUUUGAACAUAAUUUUAAAAAUUAUUUUAAAGACUGAAGAAACUAAUAACAUAUAGAAUGAUCUUACCUAUCAUUGUUAGAGAAAAGCGAAGAAGAAAUCCAGGUAAUCUGAAUGGACUUUGAAAUGUGAUUUGAUAUUUACUUAUUAAAAUGAUGUAUCUGAUAUUUAAGACAUUCACAUUAUCUAAUAAACUGAGUAUUUCCCAGUU